This 486-nucleotide ribosomal RNA is filed under the name uncultured bacterium. Its description in RNAcentral is "bacterial SSU rRNA". It matches the Rfam family "Bacterial small subunit ribosomal RNA", at positions 8 to 518 of the family's 1533-position model. The record is from RNAcentral.
AGAGUUUGAUCCUGGCUUAGGACGAACGCUGGCGGCGUGCUUAACACAUGCAAGUCGAACGGGAGUAUUGAAGAAGCUUGCUUUAGAGAUACUUAGUGGCGGACGGGUGAGUAACGCGUGAGGAGCUGUCCUAUGCAGGGGGACAACAGCUGGAAACGGCUGCUAAUACCCCAUAAGCCGAGAGGUAAAAGGAUCAAUCCGGCAGAGGAGGUACUCGCGUCCUAUCAGCUAGUAGGUGAGGUAACGGCUCACCUAGGCGAAGACGGGUAGCCGGCCUGAGAGGGCGAACGGCCACACUGGAACUGAGAUACGGUCCAGACUCCUACGGGAGGCAGCAGUGGGGAAUAUUGGGCAAUGGGGGAAACCCUGACCCAGCGACGCCGCGUGGGUGAAGAAAUCCUUCGGGAUGUAAAGCCCUGUUGUAUGGGAAGAGCGGAAGACGGUACCAUACGAGGAAGCCCCGGCAAACUACGUGCCAGCAGCCGC